GACGAACGCUGGCGGCGUGCCUAAUACAUGCAAGUAGAACGCUGAAGCUUGGUGCUUGCACCGAGCGGAUGAGUUGCGAACGGGUGAGUAACGCGUAGGUAACCUGCCUGGUAGCGGGGGAUAACUAUUGGAAACGAUAGCUAAUACCGCAUAAGAGUAGAUGUUGCAUGACAUUUGCUUAAAAGGUGCAAUUGCAUCACUACCAGAUGGACCUGCGUUGUAUUAGCUAGUUGGUGAGGUAACGGCUCACCAAGGCAACGAUACAUAGCCGACCUGAGAGGGUGAUCGGCCACACUGGGACUGAGACACGGCCCAGACUCCUACGGGAGGCAGCAGUAGGGAAUCUUCGGCAAUGGACGGAAGUCUGACCGAGCAACGCCGCGUGAGUGAAGAAGGUUUUCGGAUCGUAAAGCUCUGUUGUAAGAGAAGAACGAGUGUGAGAGUGGAAAGUUCACACUGUGACGGUAUCUAACCAGAAAGGGACGGCUAACUACGUG
Molecule: ribosomal RNA, 497 nt
Filed under: uncultured bacterium
Lineage: Bacteria
Description: partial 16S ribosomal RNA
Rfam family: Bacterial small subunit ribosomal RNA
Source: RNAcentral